ACGCAUGCCCGUAGACCUUGCCUGACGGCGUUCGUGGCCAGGCAGGGGGGACAGUGCAUGCAAGAAUACUCGGAGCCCGCGCCAGCUCCUGCCAACUAACUGGGUGGCUGGACAAGUAGCGUUGCUCCCACAGCU
Pteropus vampyrus (large flying fox) is the source of this 135-nucleotide small nucleolar RNA. NCBI's taxonomy places the organism in Eukaryota, Metazoa, Chordata, Mammalia, Chiroptera, Pteropodidae. The record is from Ensembl.